GAACAGGAAUGAUCUCUAGAUCACUGAAUGAAAUUCUGUCUUUUUUUUUUUUGCUCCCAGGCCAGUCAGUGAGGUUAGGGAAAUAAUUAUCCCUGUUGGUGGCUGUGUAUAUCAACCAAGUGAAGAGGCUGAGAUCUGUAAGAAACGAAGGCUUAUGACAUUUUUUCCCCUCUGGAAUGAAAUGCACAUAUUUAUUUUGGCUUGUGCUAACCCUUGAAAGAGAGAGAGAAAAAAAACAGCUAAUCCCAUAAUCAGCAGUGGGGACUUUCAGACCUUUAAAACAGUGAUGUAAGUAAACUUUCUUUUCCCAGAUGUUGAAGUAUUGUGGCAACACGGACAUUCUGAGUACAGGUUAAGCUUCCUCUUUUCCCAACCAUUGCCUACUCACUAAAGCAAAUACCUUAAUGCAGUAUCUAAAGUACCUGUCUUGUAUGACUUCCUGCAGGAAUGCAUCUGCAGUUGUGUUGUGAUGGGGCCAAAUGAUUUCAUUUGGUAGAAGCUUGUUGUCUUGAGC
This 514-nucleotide long non-coding RNA is filed under the name Coturnix japonica (Japanese quail). RNAcentral's name for it is "lncRNA (ENSCJPG00005015915.1)". The record is from RNAcentral. Lineage: Eukaryota; Metazoa; Chordata; Aves; Galliformes; Phasianidae.